RNAcentral lists this ribosomal RNA (430 nucleotides) under Acidobacteriota bacterium. Its description in RNAcentral is "Acidobacteria bacterium partial 16S ribosomal RNA". It matches the Rfam family "Bacterial small subunit ribosomal RNA", at positions 355 to 776 of the family's 1533-position model. Lineage: Bacteria; Pseudomonadati; Acidobacteriota. The record is from RNAcentral.
UGGGGAAUAUUGGACAAUGGGCGCAAGCCUGAUCCAGCCAUGCCGCGUGUGUGAAGAAGGCCUUUUGGUUGUAAAGCACUUUAAGCGAGGAGGAGGCUACUUGGAUUAAUACUCUAGGAUAGUGGACGUUACUCGCAGAAUAAGCACCGGCUAACUCUGUGCCAGCAGCCGCGGUAAUACAGAGGGUGCGAGCGUUAAUCGGAUUUACUGGGCGUAAAGCGUGCGUAGGCGGCUUCUUAAGUCGGAUGUGAAAUCCCUGAGCUUAACUUAGGAAUUGCAUUCGAUACUGGGAAGCUAGAGUAUGGGAGAGGAUGGUAGAAUUCCAGGUGUAGCGGUGAAAUGCGUAGAGAUCUGGAGGAAUACCGAGGGCGAAGGCAGCCAUCUGGCCUAAUACUGACGCUGAGGUACGAAAGCAUGGGGAGCAAACAGG